This 502-nucleotide ribosomal RNA is filed under the name uncultured bacterium. Its description in RNAcentral is "partial 16S ribosomal RNA". It matches the Rfam family "Bacterial small subunit ribosomal RNA", at positions 28 to 523 of the family's 1533-position model. The record is from RNAcentral.
GAUGAACGCUGGCGGCGUGCCUAAUACAUGCAAGUCGAACGAAUCUUCUUCGGAAGAUGAGUGGCGAACGGGUGAGUAAUACAUAGGUAACCUGCCCCUGUGCGGGGGAUAACAGGAGGAAACUCCUGCUAAUACCGCAUAGCCAUGAGCACCGCAUGGAGCUCAUGCCAAAUAUCCUUUAUGGGAUAGCGCAGGGAUGGACCUAUGGCGCAUUAGCUGGUUGGCGGGGCAACGGCCCACCAAGGCAACGAUGCGUAGCCGGCCUGAGAGGGCGGACGGACACAUUGGGACUGAGACAGGGCCCAGACUCCUACGGGAGGCAGCAGUAGGGAAUUUUCGGCAAUGGGGGAAACCCUGACCGAGCAACGCCGCGUGAGCGAAGAAGGCCUUCGGGUCGUAAAGCUCUGUUGUAAAGGAAGAACGGCGCAUACAGGAAAUGGUAUGCGAGUGACGGUACUUUACCAGAAAGCCACGGCUAACUACGUGCCAGCCGCCGCGGUAA